RNAcentral lists this ribosomal RNA (438 nucleotides) under Salmonella enterica. RNAcentral describes it as "partial 23S ribosomal RNA". It matches the Rfam family "Bacterial large subunit ribosomal RNA", at positions 161 to 584 of the family's 2925-position model. RNAcentral also lists the same sequence under 1 other name. Lineage: Bacteria; Pseudomonadati; Pseudomonadota; Gammaproteobacteria; Enterobacterales; Enterobacteriaceae. The record is from RNAcentral.
AAUCCAUAGGUUAAUGAGGCGAACCGGGGGAACUGAAACAUCUAAGUACCCCGAGGAAAAGAAAUCAACCGAGAUUCCCCCAGUAGCGGCGAGCGAACGGGGAGGAGCCCAGAGCCUGAAUCAGCAUGUGUGUUAGUGGAAGCGUCUGGAAAGGCGCGCGAUACAGGGUGACAGCCCCGUACACAAAAGCGCAUGUGCUGUGAGCUCGAUGAGUAGGGCGGGACACGUGGUAUCCUGUCUGAAUAUGGGGGGACCAUCCUCCAAGGCUAAAUACUCCUGACUGACCGAUAGUGAACCAGUACCGUGAGGGAAAGGCGAAAAGAACCCCGGCGAGGGGAGUGAAAAAGAACCUGAAACCGUGUACGUACAAGCAGUGGGAGCCCCACCACCAAAGCAUUUGCUGUACCGCGUUGACGGAGCGAAGCGACGUCAAACCGA